RNAcentral lists this unclassified non-coding RNA (87 nucleotides) under Pseudomonas extremaustralis. Lineage: Bacteria; Pseudomonadati; Pseudomonadota; Gammaproteobacteria; Pseudomonadales; Pseudomonadaceae. The record is from RNAcentral.
GUGGGAGGGGGCUUGCUCCCGAUAGCGAUGUAUCAGUCAGACAUUUAUCGACUGACUGACCGCAAUCGGGAGCAAGCCCCCUCCCAC